Ictidomys tridecemlineatus (thirteen-lined ground squirrel) is the source of this 69-nucleotide non-coding RNA. Lineage: Eukaryota; Metazoa; Chordata; Mammalia; Rodentia; Sciuridae. The record is from Rfam.
GGGGUUGUAGCUCAGUGGUAGAGCACUUGCCUAGCACUCGUAAGGCAUUGGGUUCGAUCCCCAGCACCA